CUAAGGAGCAAGCGUUGUCCGGAAUCAUUGGGCGUAAAGGGCUCGUAGGCGGUUUUAAAAGUCAGAUGUUAAAUUAUCAGGCUCAACCUGGUACUGUCAUCUGGAACUUUAAGACUUGAGGUUAGAAGAGGAAAGUGGAAUUCCCGGUGGAGCGGUGAAAUGCGUAGAUAUCGCGAGGAACGCCGGUGGCGAAAGCGACCUUCUGGGGUGCUUGUGACGCUGAGGCGCGAAAGCUAGGGGAGCGAACGGGAUUAGAUACCCGAGUAGUCC
Molecule: ribosomal RNA, 270 nt
Filed under: uncultured archaeon
Lineage: Archaea
Description: partial 16S ribosomal RNA
Rfam family: Bacterial small subunit ribosomal RNA
Source: RNAcentral